GGUGGUGAAGAUGGAGACCCUAAGGAGGAGGAAGGCGAUGGUGAGGAAGGUGGGGGCCCCGAGGAGGAGGAAGGUGAUGGUGAGGAAGGUGAUGGUGAGGAAGGUGAUGGUGAGGAAGGGGAUGGUGAGGAAGAUGAUGAAGAUGA
Egretta garzetta (little egret) is the source of this 146-nucleotide long non-coding RNA. RefSeq lists it as uncharacterized. The transcript is spliced from 3 exons. The record is from RefSeq and is a predicted model, not a curated record. Lineage: Eukaryota; Metazoa; Chordata; Aves; Pelecaniformes; Ardeidae.